Molecule: ribosomal RNA, 1321 nt
Filed under: Escherichia coli
Lineage: Bacteria; Pseudomonadati; Pseudomonadota; Gammaproteobacteria; Enterobacterales; Enterobacteriaceae
Description: bacterial LSU rRNA
Rfam family: Bacterial large subunit ribosomal RNA
Source: RNAcentral
UAUGUUGGCCGGGCGACGGUUGUCCCGGUUUAAGCGUGUAGGCUGGUUUUCCAGGCAAAUCCGGAAAAUCAAGGCUGAGGCGUGAUGACGAGGCACUACGGUGCUGAAGCAACAAAUGCCCUGCUUCCAGGAAAAGCCUCUAAGCAUCAGGUAACAUCAAAUCGUACCCCAAACCGACACAGGUGGUCAGGUAGAGAAUACCAAGGCGCUUGAGAGAACUCGGGUGAAGGAACUAGGCAAAAUGGUGCCGUAACUUCGGGAGAAGGCACGCUGAUAUGUAGGUGAAGUCCCUCGCGGAUGGAGCUGAAAUCAGUCGAAGAUACCAGCUGGCUGCAACUGUUUAUUAAAAACACAGCACUGUGCAAACACGAAAGUGGACGUAUACGGUGUGACGCCUGCCCGGUGCCGGAAGGUUAAUUGAUGGGGUUAGCGCAAGCGAAGCUCUUGAUCGAAGCCCCGGUAAACGGCGGCCGUAACUAUAACGGUCCUAAGGUAGCGAAAUUCCUUGUCGGGUAAGUUCCGACCUGCACGAAUGGCGUAAUGAUGGCCAGGCUGUCUCCACCCGAGACUCAGUGAAAUUGAACUCGCUGUGAAGAUGCAGUGUACCCGCGGCAAGACGGAAAGACCCCGUGAACCUUUACUAUAGCUUGACACUGAACAUUGAGCCUUGAUGUGUAGGAUAGGUGGGAGGCUUUGAAGUGUGGACGCCAGUCUGCAUGGAGCCGACCUUGAAAUACCACCCUUUAAUGUUUGAUGUUCUAACGUGGACCCGUGAUCCGGGUUGCGGACAGUGUCUGGUGGGUAGUUUGACUGGGGCGGUCUCCUCCUAAAGAGUAACGGAGGAGCACGAAGGUUGGCUAAUCCUGGUCGGACAUCAGGAGGUUAGUGCAAUGGCAUAAGCCAGCUUGACUGCGAGCGUGACGGCGCGAGCAGGUGCGAAAGCAGGUCAUAGUGAUCCGGUGGUUCUGAAUGGAAGGGCCAUCGCUCAACGGAUAAAAGGUACUCCGGGGAUAACAGGCUGAUACCGCCCAAGAGUUCAUAUCGACGGCGGUGUUUGGCACCUCGAUGUCGGCUCAUCACAUCCUGGGGCUGAAGUAGGUCCCAAGGGUAUGGCUGUUCGCCAUUUAAAGUGGUACGCGAGCUGGGUUUAGAACGUCGUGAGACAGUUCGGUCCCUAUCUGCCGUGGGCGCUGGAGAACUGAGGGGGGCUGCUCCUAGUACGAGAGGACCGGAGUGGACGCAUCACUGGUGUUCGGGUUGUCAUGCCAAUGGCACUGCCCGGUAGCUAAAUGCGGAAGAGAUAAGUGCUGAAAGCAUCUAA